Oryctolagus cuniculus (rabbit) is the source of this 586-nucleotide non-coding RNA. NCBI's taxonomy places the organism in Eukaryota, Metazoa, Chordata, Mammalia, Lagomorpha, Leporidae. The record is from RefSeq and is a predicted model, not a curated record.
CUUUUAGAAUGAAGGAAAUGAGAAGGUGUGGGAAAGAAGAAGACCUCAGUUGAGUUUGUUCUCCCAAGAAGCAAUGGAUGCUACUGACUUAAUGAGUUGGAAAAAUCAAGGAAAACAAAUGAGCAACAGAAAUGCUGAUGGAAAAAUCCUUAUGAAAUAUCUCUAGGAAAACGUGCCCUCAAAUUGAGAAAACAUGAAGUACCACAGACAACAGCUUAAAAUGGUGUUCGAUUUCAUUUAAAACUAUGAGGAGAGAAAUCCAGCUCUUUGGUCUACAUUCAGGAUGUGUUCACAGCUGCCCCAUUGCAAAGAAUCAGUGAAGUCCCCUUCGGAUGAACUCACACAAGAAUACACCAAGUGGGGCCCCCAUCUCAGAUAUUUACUGCCCACUGUUUUAUUUCAACUAAACCUUACUAUAAUCACAAUCUUGGCAAAAAAUAUCAUGAAGAAAUUCUGAGUUGUGAACUUUUUUUCCAGUAUAUAUUGUAACCAUUGGAUAAAAUGCAUUCAAUUUUCUUUCAAACAGAUAUUUAUAUAAGAUAUAGGUAGCAAUGUUAACAAGAUAGAUCAGUUUUUCCAAUAAAUC